GACGAACGCUGGCGGCGUGCUUAACACAUGCAAGUCGGACGGAAAGGCCCUGCUUUUGUGGGGUGCUCGAGUGGCGAACGGGUGAGUAACACGUGAGUAACCUGCCCUUGACUUUGGGAUAACUUCAGGAAACUGGGGCUAAUACCGGAUAGGAGCUCCUGCUGCAUGGUGGGGGUUGGAAAGUUUCGGCGGUUGGGGAUGGACUCGCGGCUUAUCAGCUUGUUGGUGGGGUAGUGGCUUACCAAGGCUUUGACGGGUAGCCGGCCUGAGAGGGUGACCGGCCACAUUGGGACUGAGAUACGGCCCAGACUCCUACGGGAGGCAGCAGUGGGGAAUAUUGCACAAUGGGCGGAAGCCUGAUGCAGCAACGCCGCGUGCGGGAUGACGGCCUUCGGGUUGUAAACCGCUUUCGCCUGUGACGAAGCGUGAGUGACGGUAAUGGGUAAAGAAGCACCGGCUAACUACGCG
RNAcentral lists this ribosomal RNA (468 nucleotides) under uncultured bacterium. RNAcentral's name for it is "partial 16S ribosomal RNA". It matches the Rfam family "Bacterial small subunit ribosomal RNA", at positions 28 to 507 of the family's 1533-position model. The record is from RNAcentral.